AACGAACGUUAGCGGUGUGGAUUAGGCAUGCAAGUCGAGCGCGAAAGUCCGCAAGGACGAGUAAAGCGGCGAAAGGGUGAGUAACACGUAACCAAUCUACCCACGAGAUCGGAAUAACCGGUGGAAACGCUGGCUAAUGCCGAAUGGUCCUGUCGGGAGGCAUCUCCUGGCACGUAAACGGCGGCGCAAGCUGCUGCUCGAGGAGGGGGUUGCGGGCUAUCAGCUAGUUGGUGGGGAACGGCCUACCAAGGCGAUGACGGCUAGCUGGUCUGAGAGGACGACCAGCCACACUGGGACU
RNAcentral lists this ribosomal RNA (298 nucleotides) under uncultured bacterium. RNAcentral describes it as "partial 16S ribosomal RNA". It matches the Rfam family "Bacterial small subunit ribosomal RNA", at positions 29 to 320 of the family's 1533-position model. The record is from RNAcentral.